GUAUUUUUAAUAGUUUAAUUUUGUCUAUUUUUAAUAGCUUUUUUAUGAUUUAUAUAUGUAAAUUUUUGUGAGUUUAAUUAUUCUUAAGGAUUAAUUAUUAUUAUUCGCAGUUAUUAGAUUUGUUUUUUAAAGAGAUUUAGAUUUAGUUAUUAAUAUAAGAAUUGUUUAAUAUUGUGCCAGCAAACGCGGUUACACAAUUAAUUCAAGUUAUUUUUUUUGGAUAAUAUUUAUAUAGUUAUUUUUAGGAUAAAAUUUUUGUUAUUAGGUGAAAUUUUAAUUUAUUAUUAUCUUAGGGUUUAUUAUGAAUAUAUGAACUUCUUUUAUUAAACUAGGAUUAGAUACCCUAUUAUUUUGAAUGUAAUUUAUUUUCCUAGUACUAUUAGUUAUGGUCUUUUAAAUUAAAAGAUUUUGGCGGUAAUUUAAUCUUUUCAGAGGAACCUGUUCUAUAAUUGAUAAUCCACGUUGGGUUUUACUUUAAUUUUGGUUUGUAUAUCUCUGUCGUUGAAUAGCUUAUUAGGGUUAUAUUCAUUAAUUAUUUAUUUAUAAUAUGUCAGGUCAAGGUGCAGCUAUAUUAAAGGUUGAGAUGGGUUACAUUUAGUUUUAUUACUUAUGGGAUAUAUUUAUUGAGUAUAUAUAUUGAAAUAGGAUUUGAACGUAAAUAUUAUUAUCUUUUAAUAUUGAUUUUUGGCUCUAAAUUAUGUACAUAUCGCCCGUCACUCUCAUUAAUAAGAUGGGAUAAGUCGUAACAAAGUAAUUCUAUUGGAAAAUGGGGUUAGAUGAAA
RNAcentral lists this non-coding RNA (782 nucleotides) under Physopelta cincticollis. Lineage: Eukaryota; Metazoa; Arthropoda; Insecta; Hemiptera; Largidae. The record is from RNAcentral.